RNAcentral lists this transfer RNA (71 nucleotides) under Lamprotula tortuosa. Its description in RNAcentral is "tRNA-Cys". Lineage: Eukaryota; Metazoa; Mollusca; Bivalvia; Unionida; Unionidae. The record is from RNAcentral.
ACCGCCUUAUAGUAUAUACCAACAUAUUACAGUAAAUUGCAACUUUAUUAAAGCCUAACGCUAAGGCGGUC